RNAcentral lists this ribosomal RNA (620 nucleotides) under Pseudomonas sp. RNAcentral describes it as "bacterial SSU rRNA". It matches the Rfam family "Bacterial small subunit ribosomal RNA", at positions 104 to 720 of the family's 1533-position model. Lineage: Bacteria; Pseudomonadati; Pseudomonadota; Gammaproteobacteria; Pseudomonadales; Pseudomonadaceae. The record is from RNAcentral.
GGGUGAGUAAUGCCUAGGAAUCUGCCUGGUAGUGGGGGACAACGUUUCGAAAGGAACGCUAAUACCGCAUACGUCCUACGGGAGAAAGCAGGGGACCUUCGGGCCUUGCGCUAUCAGAUGAGCCUAGGUCGGAUUAGCUAGUUGGUGGGGUAAUGGCUCACCAAGGCGACGAUCCGUAACUGGUCUGAGAGGAUGAUCAGUCACACUGGAACUGAGACACGGUCCAGACUCCUACGGGAGGCAGCAGUGGGGAAUAUUGGACAAUGGGCGAAAGCCUGAUCCAGCCAUGCCGCGUGUGUGAAGAAGGUCUUCGGAUUGUAAAGCACUUUAAGUUGGGAGGAAGGGCAGUAAGCGAAUACCUUGCUGUUUUGACGUUACCGACAGAAUAAGCACCGGCUAACUCUGUGCCAGCAGCCGCGGUAAUACAGAGGGUGCAAGCGUUAAUCGGAAUUACUGGGCGUAAAGCGCGCGUAGGUGGUUUGUUAAGUUGGAUGUGAAAGCCCCGGGCUCAACCUGGGAACUGCAUCCAAAACUGGCAAGCUAGAGUACGGUAGAGGGUGGUGGAAUUUCCUGUGUAGCGGUGAAAUGCGUAGAUAUAGGAAGGAACACCAGUGGCGAAG